ACAGGCUUAAAACUCAAAAGACUUGACAGUGUCCCACAUCAACCUAGAGGAGCCUGUCCUACAACCGAUAACCCACGAUCAACCUCACCCGCUUUUGCACUUCUCAGCCUAUAUACCUCCGUCGCCAGCCCGCCUGACAACAGCCAACAAAGCGAGUAAAAUAGUUUACCACUAAAACGACAGGUCAAGGUGUAGCUAAUAAACGGGGCAGAGAUGGGCUACAUUGUCUAACCUAGACAAUACCCACAGCACUAUGAAAAUAGCACAAAAGGUGGAUUUAGCAGUAAGUGUGGCAAGACAAGCCUCUCUGAAGCCUGCCCUGAGACGUGUACACACCGCCCGUCACCCUCCUCAAAUACCAAUGAAAAAUAACUAAACAAAGACUACUAAACAAGAUGAGGCAAGUCGUAACAUGGUAAGUGUACUGGAAAGUGCACUUGGCUUAUCUUGGCGGUAGCUUAAAUUCAAAGCGUUAGG
Molecule: ribosomal RNA, 477 nt
Filed under: Uroplatus malama
Lineage: Eukaryota; Metazoa; Chordata; Lepidosauria; Squamata; Gekkonidae
Description: partial 12S ribosomal RNA
Rfam family: Bacterial small subunit ribosomal RNA
Source: RNAcentral